AGAGAUGUCUGGGCCUUGACCAAUGAGAUCUUCAGGAGUACUUCAGCAGCUGUUUCGGAUUUUUCUCUGUGGAUGUCCUCAUGGGACUAAGUGGAAAUUGGAAAAGUAUCAUCAAACUCUUCUUGAGAUUCCUUUUUGAUAAGGAAGAUUGCAGAAAAAUUUGUGGCUGAAGAGGAUGCACUGAGAAGAAAGAUAACUGCCCUUAUUCUAAAUCCCAAUCUUCAAUCAAGUACUAAGAUGGUCUGCACUUUGCCUGUGGCGAUUUCCUUAGGUAGCUGGAGAGGAAACCUCGGUGGUGGUGGUGACCCACAGACUGCCCUGCUGGGAAAAUGCACUGACCAGUCAUCAGCAAAUUCUAGCCCAUUCAGCAGGUUGAAAAGCUACUGACCAGGAAGGUCAUUUCCAGCAUUUCCCAUAGCUUCAAGAUUACUAGUACAGACGCAGAAGGUAAUGUAAAACAAAGCCACUUAAUCCGGUGAAGUUUUCUUGUGACAGGGUCCCUUUAAAGACUAUUAUCCUGAUUUCCAUCCACCCUUUGAUAGAAUCAAUGUGUACUAGAUUUAAGCAGAAUCCUGUAAAUAUCCUCCCUAUUUAUAUCUUUAACAUAAAACAGCCUAAGUGGCACAUGACAGGUGAGGAGAACAGCACUAUGUUGUAGGCUAAGCAGACCCAAAGCCACUCACUCACUCACUCAGCCAGCCAAACAAGGUCCCUUCAGAGGGGCUUUCACAGACAUGCAUCUACUGACCACUCCUGAGUAAUAAUCUAUUCUCUGCUAGUAAACAGUGCAGAUGUAUUUUAAUAAGAGGAUUGCGGCCUGGCACGCUGGCUCAUGCCUGUAAUUCCAGCACUUUGGGAGGCCGAGGCAGGCGGAUCACGAGGUCAGGAGAUCGAGACCAUCCUGGCUAACACAGUGAAACCCCGUCUCUACUAAAAAUACAAAAAAUUAGCUGGGCAUGGUGGCAGGCGCCUGUAGCCCCAGCUACUCGAGAGGCUGAGGCAGAAGAAUGGCCUGAACCCAGGAGGCGGAGCUUGCAGUGAGCUGAGAUCACGCCACUGCACUCCAGCCUGGGCAACAGAGCAAGACUCUGUCUCAAAAUAAAAUAAAAUAAAAUAAAAAAUUAAUAAGAGGAUUGCAACUUUGUGAUCUUUUUGAUUUUGGAGCAUUCGGAAACAAGAAUGGCCAUCCCACCACGACAGCAAUGUCAAGCCAGUAAGCCCUGACUUGCUUUUCAUAGCUGCCACCCCCAGGUAGGAGUCCUGGGAGCUGGUGAAGGACAGCUGCUCUGUGAGCUUCAAGGUCUUCUUUCAGAAUGCCAUUGUGAUUACAGAGCCUAUAAAAUAAAAAAGAUGCUGCAGGAGAUGCUUAUUUAAGCACAGAUCACCAGCUUCUAGAAUCUAUGAUGGUUCUUCAUGGUUUACUGAAAUAUAUCUGUAAUAUAAUCUGGACAUUAAAAUGCAGCAACUAUACUGUCUCUCAACAAAGACAUAAAAUGGGGCAGUUUGAAAAACUUGUUUGCGUGUAUGCGGCAAUUUUAAAUCCAUCAGAGGAAGUAACUUUUAACCCUUUGUUGACUUUAAUGAUGUUCAAAUCCACAGCUGGGCAAUCUCGUUCCACAUUCCACCUGAAUGACAGGUAUGCUAGAUAAUCUUAACAGCAGAAAAGGCUAAUUUUAUAUUGUCAAUCAUAACAAAGUUAGAUCCCCACAACUCGUAUGAAAUUUACUUAAAUUGUCACUGCUAAGAAAUUGAAAACUUCUGGCUGAAGUAUAGGUUACAUCCUCUAUUUCUGAAUGUAGAAAAAUGACUAUUAGUUUUCCAUUCAGAUCCUAUUGCAGUCAAAUUUUCUUUAUUCUUAAUCAGAAUAGGAAGGCAUGGAAAGAGGGAUUUAUCUUUUAUUAUCUAUAUCCAGUCUACUGAGUAAGUGAUAAGAGUCUAAAAAUUUGGUCACUGUUUUAGGUUAGGUCUGUCGUUGUAUCACAGUAGCCUUCAAAUAGAUUAGUUACCAUCUUUUAAAAAAUGACUAUUUUGAGGGAUGCAUGAUUCUAAAAAGCUAUAGGAGAAGACAAAACAGUGUUUCUACUUUAAAGGAGCUGUUCACAUUUGUAGUUGGGAAUAUUCAACACACACCCCAAAAAGAAAAUGAAGAUUAGUUACAAAGCAACUUAUAAAGCAAUAUGUUAAUUUGCAAGGUACUAAUUUGUAAAUAGCACUACAGUUGGUGAAGUUACUGGACCUAGUUGAUGGCUAUGUGCCUGAUGUGAUAAGGAUGAAGGAGAUGUGGUCCAUCUAUUGGAGGGUGAGUGACAACUGCAGACUCAGGCUUAGCCCUACUCUGAAGUGUACCUUUAUGCUGGGAAGGAAUAAUAACAGGCACACAAGAUUCAAGUGCUAUUCCUGACCCUUAUCCACACUGUUGGUGCUCCAGCUCCUUGCCAAUUCCCAGGCUUCUGUCUAAACUCUAAGCCUGGAUUCUCAGUUCUUGUAGGUCAGACCCCGAGUUGGGUCCUUCACUCCUGGGUUCUGCUGCCCCAAAGCUUCCAGACUUCAGGCCUAUCUGACUUAUAGUACCUAUGAAUACCUCUUAUUGCCUAGGCAAAAUCUGGAUCCUAAUUCUUCCUGGAAGCCUUUAUCUUGUCAUCACUCAAUUUCCAGAAUAACAGCUGCCCUUAAGAGGUCCCACCAAUGGUGAGCCAAUUUCAGAGUAGUAAAAGAGAGCCUGUAAUCAACGGUGAGAGGUAUAGGGCAGGCCAUCAGACAAUCAGGAAUUAUGAAGCGGUAAAGACACAGAGAGAUCACUGGAGUCUCAGGGGCUUCACUAAGGAGGAGGAACGUGAGCCAGGCAGGUUUUAGAGAGAAGGGGAGAUGACAUUUGAAACUAAGGAGAGACACAGGCAAAGGUGAUGGGAAAUGACAGGGUAAGAGUGGUGUGGGGACCAGCAAGGGAGACAAGUUUGGCUGGGUAGGGGUUGCUGUUGGUCAUAGUAGGAUAGCAAUGGAAAAUUAAAUUCAAUAUGAAACUCUGGAAAGAAUACAGCAAUAAGCUUGUGGAUUUCUGAGCCAUUGCUGGUUUCUCGAAAGCAGUGUUUUUCAGAGGGUUAGCCUGGCAGCCUUGCAAGGAUGGAGUUGGUGAGGAGAGAGACCUGAGGCCCAGAGACCAGUCAGGAGACUGACUUUGUGCUGUAGGUGGCAGAGGAAGAGCAGGUAAGUGGGUGAGGCAAGGGAGGAAGAAACAGUCCUUCAUCGCUCACCUGGGGAGCACUCAGCUGACUACAGGGAAGGUAACGGAGACCAUGCUGGCUGCUGGUGGGGUGGGGCUGUGGAGAGCUGGGGCCAGUGCCUCCAUCAAAAGCUCCCCCUGAGGAGUGUGUGUCCCAGUGAACCUAGAUCUUCUCAGUUUUUAAGAGAAGCUGGAAGUUUAUAAUUGCAAGUUUUGUUUUUAUUUAACAGCUCCCAAUUUUUAAAAUGUGGUGACUAAUUCAAAAGGUUGCCUACCCACUGACAGGACAAAGAGAACCUAUCUGCAGCCCAAGGUAGGCCUGCAGGCCACCAGCUUAUGAUCUCCAAGCUUAGAUUCCCUUUAGUCCCACUUCCCAAACCAGGAUGCAAACCUGGAGCAAGGACCAUGGCUUAAUGUUUUUGGAUAUCUUCUAAAAGGUUAGUACUGUGCAGUACUGGAAACUGGCUGACACUCCAUGGUGCUGGUGGAUGCUGCAGUGGGAGCAGGUUCCCUCCAUGCAUUCGGCACAAUGCUGAGCAUACAACUUAAUGAUACUACAUGUCAAAUGACAAGCUGAAACUUAAACCCAGAUGAAAGAAAUUCAUAUGACACACUUAUCUUUACAGUAUUUUUUUUUUUUUAAUAAAAAUGAGAUGGGGUCUUGCUUUGUUGCCCAGGCUGGUCUCAAACUCUUGAGCUCAAGCAAUCCUCCCACCUUGGCCUCCCAAAGUUCUGCGAUUACAGACAUGAGCCACCACACCUGGCUGACAGUAUUUUUAUAAUGGUUGUUGUUACACCAGUCCAGGGUUUCCCCCUUGGUACUGGGUGAUCAAUCAGCUGGCCACAAGCACUAUGCACAGAGCUUAUGAUCUACUCUAACUCAGAACUUUCUCGGACUAAAAGAUGAGCUGGUUUAUGCU
This 4140-nucleotide long non-coding RNA is filed under the name Homo sapiens (human). RNAcentral's name for it is "PREDICTED lncRNA (TCONS_00169945)". The record is from RNAcentral. Lineage: Eukaryota; Metazoa; Chordata; Mammalia; Primates; Hominidae.